This 462-nucleotide ribosomal RNA is filed under the name uncultured bacterium. RNAcentral's name for it is "partial 16S ribosomal RNA". It matches the Rfam family "Bacterial small subunit ribosomal RNA", at positions 28 to 507 of the family's 1533-position model. The record is from RNAcentral.
GACGAACGCUGGCGGCGUGCUUAACACAUGCAAGUCGAACGGAAAGGCCCUUCGGGGUCCUCGAGUGGCGAACGGGUGAGUAACACGUGGGUGAUCUGCCCUGCACUUUGGGAUAAGCCUGGGAAACUGGGUCUAAUACCGAAUAGGACCACGCGCUUCAUGGUGUGUGGUGGAAAGCUUUUGCGGUGUGGGAUGGGCCCGCGGCCUAUCAGCUUGUUGGUGGGGUAAUGGCCUACCAAGGCGACGACGGGUAGCCGGCCUGAGAGGGUGACCGGCCACACUGGGACUGAGAUACGGCCCAGACUCCUACGGGAGGCAGCAGUGGGGAAUAUUGCACAAUGGGCGCAAGCCUGAUGCAGCGACGCCGCGUGAGGGAUGACGGCCUUCGGGUGGUAAACCUCUUUCAAUAGGGACGAAGCGCAAGUGACGGUACCUAUAGAAGAAGCACCGGCCAACUACGUG